CCAAAAAAUGAGCCUUCGAUGUCAUGGGCUCGGUGCAUGCGAUAUGCGGAGGUUGGUGUCACAGUAGAAAAAUUUGUCUUCAUGGCCGCAAAGACAGGUGACUUUGUAGAAUUUGAUCAUGCGCUUGGAUUACAACCUCAAUUCUCAAGCUACACUAUCAAUAACAAUCAUGAACGGGCUUUUAAUACAAAAAACAAGUUUGAAGAUAUAACAUCCAAAACCAAAUUUGAAAUUGAUCUUCUAGUGAAGAACCAAAUUGCUUCUUCAAGUAAUAAAGAAGACCAUAAUAAUGAUCCUUCAUCUACUUCAAGGUAUGUAUUUAUGCUUGUACUUUUAUUAGGAUAAAAUUUGAGUUUUUAUUGACAAUAUAUUAGGUUUAUAAUAAAAAUAAAAAUUAUUUUAUAGUUUCUUCUUACUAAAUAAAUAAACAUAUUUUAUUCUUUUGAAAAUUUAAAAUUGUAUGAAUAGAUAUUUCAUGUAUUAGAAAAAAAAUUAAUGUUCCCAAAUUCAUGAAAAGUUAAGUUUUAGAACAGAGGCUUGUGUUAAGUGUUUUAAAACCACAUAUGACUGAGAAAGGAAAAAGUGUGACUUGCUUCUGUAUUAAACUUUAAUCACUAGAACAAUAAAUUUAGAUUAAAGCAAUGAAUUACUCUUUCAAAAAAACCCUGUUGACAUUUGAAAACGGUUCUAAUCCAAUCAUAAUGCUUUGUAGUAAGAAUAAUGUAGAAUAUGAAGGAAAACCAUCCACAGAAAAAUCCGAUGUACACAAUCACCAAAAUGACGAAAAAAAUAUGUUUAAUAACAUAUUUAAUUUUCAAAGACAACCAUACUUUACCCAAAAAAAAUCUAAUACACCGGUAAUUGAUUUUCAAUUAAAACAAGUCAUUGCACCAAACAAUGAUGUGCUUAAGCGGAUGGUCCCCGUUAUUGUUUUUGCAAUUGUUCAAGGUUUAGAUGAAUUCCAAGAUACUAUUCCAAAUUUUAUAGAGAAUUUCAUUAAACUCAAAAGAUUUGUUUUUGUAGAUAUCCUAGAAAGUCUAACAAUCCAUAUGAGAGAACACCAAAUUCAACAAGUUAGAAUCCAAAAACUAGAAAAAUUAAAUAGAUUGAUCAAUGAAAACAUUGCUUUUAAAAAUAAUGUUAAAAAUGAGAGUAAGAGCAGAAAGGGUUUUAUUGAUGGAGAUGAUAAUGUGAAUAACGAUAAUUAUAAUAAAAACUCAUGUCAUCUAAGCAAAAUGCAAUUUUCUAUGAGUACUCAAGCCCUAAACAAAGUUGAGGAUUUGAAUAACUCACCAUUAAAGUUUCAAACUCAUGAAAAUGCAUCUAAAAAUCUGAAUUCGAAUUUUAGAUAUGAACCACGUAUCUUAGAAAAUGGAUUUA
Molecule: long non-coding RNA, 1380 nt
Filed under: Physcomitrium patens
Lineage: Eukaryota; Viridiplantae; Streptophyta; Bryopsida; Funariales; Funariaceae
Description: long non-coding RNA (PPAT_LNC001029)
Source: RNAcentral